This 387-nucleotide ribosomal RNA is filed under the name uncultured bacterium. RNAcentral's name for it is "bacterial SSU rRNA". It matches the Rfam family "Bacterial small subunit ribosomal RNA", at positions 30 to 416 of the family's 1533-position model. The record is from RNAcentral.
AUUGAACGCUGGCGGCAUGCCUUACACAUGCAAGUCGAACGGCAGCACGGGAGCAAUCCUGGUGGCGAGUGGCGAACGGGUGAGUAAUAUAUCGGAACGUGCCCGGUCGUGGGGGAUAACGUAGCGAAAGCUACGCUAAUACCGCAUACUAUCUAUGGAUGAAAGCGGGGGAUCGCAAGACCUCGCGCGAUUGGAGCGGCCGAUAUCAGAUUAGGUAGUUGGUGAGGUAAAGGCUCACCAAGCCGACGAUCUGUAGCUGGUCUGAGGGGGACGACCAGCCACACUGGGACUGAGACACGGCCCAGACUCCUACGGGAGGCAGCAGUGGGGAAUUUUGGACAAUGGGCGCAAGCCUGAUCCAGCAAUGCCGCGUGCAGGAUGAAGGCC